GCCAGGCAUGGUGGCUCAUGCCUGUAAUCCCAGCACUUUGGGAGGCCGAGGCAGGUGGAUCACCUGAGGUCAGGAGUUUGAGACCAGCCUGGCCAACAUGGUGAAACCCUGUCUCUA
This is a non-coding RNA of Gorilla gorilla gorilla (western lowland gorilla), 117 nucleotides long. It matches the Rfam family "Metazoan signal recognition particle RNA". Rfam says of the family: The signal recognition particle (SRP) is a universally conserved ribonucleoprotein. It is involved in the co-translational targeting of proteins to membranes. The eukaryotic SRP consists of a 300-nucleotide 7S RNA and six proteins: SRPs 72, 68, 54, 19, 14, and 9. The record is from Rfam. NCBI's taxonomy places the organism in Eukaryota, Metazoa, Chordata, Mammalia, Primates, Hominidae.